GACCUUGCUGUUUCUAAUGGAGGAUAGAAACCACGGGGACUCUAUGGAAGAAAGAGAGGCAUUAGGAUGUCCCAUUUCUCAUCAAAACCAGGUAUGUCCCUGCUGCAAGACACAGACCAGGCAUGAUCGACCUAUGUACUCGGGACUUGUGGCACUUCUAAGUAUAUAGGCAGUGGACCGGUUCUGCUGCAUGAUUCAUGAACUUACAUGAUGUAAAGUUCAUGCUGCCUUCUUUCCUUUAACUGAAGAUUGCUGUUCUUUUGCAUCACCUCCCAAAUGCUUCUGCCUUUG
This 291-nucleotide unclassified non-coding RNA is filed under the name Hevea brasiliensis (rubber tree). The record is from RNAcentral. Lineage: Eukaryota; Viridiplantae; Streptophyta; Magnoliopsida; Malpighiales; Euphorbiaceae.